RNAcentral lists this ribosomal RNA (253 nucleotides) under uncultured bacterium. RNAcentral's name for it is "partial 16S ribosomal RNA". It matches the Rfam family "Bacterial small subunit ribosomal RNA", at positions 524 to 776 of the family's 1533-position model. The record is from RNAcentral.
UACGAAGGGGGCUAGCGUUGCUCGGAAUCACUGGGCGUAAAGCGCACGUAGGCGGAUCUUUAAGUCAGAGGUGAAAUCCCAAGGCUCAACCUUGGAACUGCCUUUGAUACUGGGGAUCUCGAGUCCGGAAGAGGUGAGUGGAACUGCGAGUGUAGAGGUGAAAUUCGUAGAUAUUCGCAAGAACACCAGUGGCGAAGGCGGCUGACUGGUCCGGUUCUGACGCUGAGGCGCGAAAGCGUGGGGAGCAAACAGG